Long non-coding RNA from Amborella trichopoda, 1293 nucleotides. RefSeq lists it as uncharacterized. The record is from RefSeq and is a predicted model, not a curated record. Lineage: Eukaryota; Viridiplantae; Streptophyta; Magnoliopsida; Amborellales; Amborellaceae.
GCACAAAAGGACAUAGUUGGAAGUAGUGAGGGUAUGGCCUCCGCCUCAUUGAGGGUAUGGUCCUUGAGAGCAGGAUGGCAAAACUAAGACUCAUAUAGCCGAUCCCAAAUAGUUGGAAAAAUGCUCUGAUGAUGAUAAUGAUGAUGAUGAUUAUUUUUUUCAAAUAUGUGAAAGUUUAGGAAUCCUUUGGACGUGAGAUAGGAGAUUGUAGUAUGGUUAGAAUUUCUCUUUAAUUUUUCAUAUACAUAUAAGCAUUGGGAAAAUGAAAAGAUAGAGAGAUUUGAAUUAUAUUUUGGGCUUGUGAGGGGUUCUUGUGAGUCAUUUCACUUGCAGUCUCUAAAAGAGCAUAAUGUCUUACAGCCUUUUCUUUUUUUUUCUUUUUAGUUUUAUAACUCUGUCUCUCUCUCGCUCUCCUACCUUCAUCAUUUGGUAUCAAAGCCUAGAGAAUGAUCUGUACAACAUGAGGACAUUGAAACCACAUGCAGAAAAGAUGGAUCCAGUUUGGGAGUGCGUGGCUCAAAUACUCGAGAAAUUGCAAAGGGACAAUUGCGAAAUAAUCAACAGAUUAAGGCAGCACAUGGAACAAGUAACCCAUGAUCACGUGACAGGUCAGGAAUCAAUCCCUAAUCAAAACAAUGACCAAAGGUCACAACAAAUUCAGGUGAAGACUUCCUAUUGGAAUAGAGUGAAGGAGACCGUGAAGGAAAAUUUUUGAAGUCUGUAAGCUUGAGGACGAGCGUCUCCCAACCCUGCCAGAGUGGUGCAAUCAUGGAAUAAGGUGCCACAUGUUCCUGAGGCAAUGAUCGCUGCAUAACGGUGGAUGUAAUUUAUGCAUAUCUGUAAGGCAGCUUCUAAAGGGUCCUUGUUUGAUCAUUGAUAGAGUCAACAACUUGGAAACCCAUGCGCUACGGAGGGGAUAUUGGGACGGUUAUGCAAUGAGUUAGGCCUCAGGGGAGAGAAGAGAGUGGUUUCCUGUCUCGCAAGAUGGUUUUACAAUGAGAUUAGGAAGGGCCUUGUGACUUCGGUGGUGUUGGAGCUCAAUUCAGGCUGAUCAGGUGAGGAGGGCCUCCUGAGUUUCCUGCACCACCCUUCUUGUUUGUACUUGAAGCAAGUUUUCAAAGGAGUUGGUUGUUGAAGUCAUAGUUCUUAGGGACUGGUCUGACAGGCUACAAUCCUUUUUAAGGACUUCCUAAUUUUCUUUUUGUUGAAGGUUGAUAAGUUGUUUUUUACCAUAAAUUGGCUUUGAUUUUUUAAGUUCUAAGAAGAAAAAUAAUCAUGUGAUCUGAAACCUUU